RNAcentral lists this ribosomal RNA (318 nucleotides) under uncultured eukaryote. RNAcentral's name for it is "partial 18S ribosomal RNA". It matches the Rfam family "Eukaryotic small subunit ribosomal RNA", at positions 1470 to 1796 of the family's 1831-position model. The record is from RNAcentral.
CCCUUAGAUGUCCUGGGCCGCACGCGUGCUACACUGACGCAUACAGCGAGCACUUUCCAGUUCCGAGAGGCUACUGGUAAUCAUCAAUAUGCGUCGCGAUGGGGAUAGAUCUUUGGAAUUCUGGAUCUUGAACGAGGAAUGCCUAGUAAUCGCAGGUCAUUAGCCUGCGAUGAUUAAGUCCCUGCCCUUUGUACACACCGCCCGUCGCUACUACCGAUUUCGAGUGGUCAGGUGAAUCUUUCGGACUGUGGGCGCCCUUGAGGUGUUCGCGGAAAGUCAGGUAAAUCUUAUCACUUAGAGGAAGUAAAAGUCGUAACA